Molecule: non-coding RNA, 263 nt
Organism: Pelobates cultripes (western spadefoot toad)
Lineage: Eukaryota; Metazoa; Chordata; Amphibia; Anura; Pelobatidae
Source: the annotation of a GenBank genome assembly
CAGUUCCCGAACCAAGACCACCCCAGAAACCCAUUAGAAUGUGGAACGUUAAGUGCCCUGUACGAAAACCGCAAAGGAAAUAAUUAAUAGAAUGCUCCACAUGGUGGCCAUUUUGUAUCCUGAACACUGGCAGUGGGACUUGGUCGUUGAGUACCUGGAACGCAUUUUGGGCAGGGACUCCCGCAAACAUGGUCACCAUGGACCUACUGCCUGUUCUCGUUCCAGUUCUCCUAUGUGAACAGCGUUUGGGAGUUACAGAUUAC